RNAcentral lists this ribosomal RNA (300 nucleotides) under uncultured Lactobacillus sp. Its description in RNAcentral is "bacterial SSU rRNA". The stretch from base 51 to 300 matches the Rfam family "Bacterial small subunit ribosomal RNA", at positions 547 to 795 of the family's 1533-position model. Lineage: Bacteria; Bacillati; Bacillota; Bacilli; Lactobacillales; Lactobacillaceae. The record is from RNAcentral.
CGAGGGGCGGGCCAGGCGGUGCGGGAAAUCGUGAGGUGGGAGGGUUGGCCGGAAUUAUGGGGCGGAAAGGGCUCGUAGGCGGGGGGUCGCGUCGGCCGUGAAAAGUUGCAGCUUAACUGGGGGCGGGCGGUCGAUAUGGGCAGCACUGGAGUUCGGCAGGGGAGACUGGAAUUCCUGGUGUAGCGGUGAAAUGCGCAGAUAUCAGGAGGAACACCGGUGGCGAAGGCGGGUCUCUGGGCCGAUACUGACGCUGAGGAGCGAAAGCGUGGGGAGCGAACAGGAUUAGAUACCCCAGUAGUC